AACUUACACCAGUCCAUGAACACUUUUGCAAUAUCCUAUCUAUCAGCACCUGAAAUUUUUGGUUUGUGGAUCUGCCUUUCCAACAGAACAAAACUAAUUGCAUCCAGAAAUCAUCUCAGCAAUCCCACAAACCUAUACCCUCAUUUUUCCAGCCUUGAUUACACUAUUGUUUAAGUCUGAACAAUAAAAAUAAAAUGGUCAACACCAUAAUAAUGUCUUUUCAUAAAUAUGCCGUCUAAUCUCAUCCAUUUGCAAGAGGUGAAG
RNAcentral lists this unclassified non-coding RNA (264 nucleotides) under Hevea brasiliensis (rubber tree). Lineage: Eukaryota; Viridiplantae; Streptophyta; Magnoliopsida; Malpighiales; Euphorbiaceae. The record is from RNAcentral.